GGAGGGAUGGCAGAGCGGUCGAUUGCGCCGGUUUCGAAAACCGGAGGACGUGAAAGCGUCCCGUGGGUUCGAACCCCACUCCCUCCGCCA
Molecule: transfer RNA, 90 nt
Filed under: Defluviimonas salinarum
Lineage: Bacteria; Pseudomonadati; Pseudomonadota; Alphaproteobacteria; Rhodobacterales; Paracoccaceae
Description: tRNA-Ser
Rfam family: tRNA
About the family: Transfer RNA (tRNA) molecules are approximately 80 nucleotides in length. Their secondary structure includes four short double-helical elements and three loops (D, anti-codon, and T loops).
Source: RNAcentral